UACGUAGGGUGCGAGCGUUAAUCGGAAUUACUGGGCGUAAAGCGUGCGCAGGCGGUGCGCCAAGCUCGAUGUGAAAGCCCCGGGCUUAACCUGGGAAUUGCAUUGAGGACUGGCGUGCUCGAGUGCGGCAGAGGGGGGUGGAAUUCCACGUGUAGCAGUGAAAUGCGUAGAGAUGUGGAGGAACACCGAUGGCGAAGGCAGCCCCCUGGGCCGACACUGACGCUCAUGCACGAAAGCGUGGGGAGCGAACAGG
This 253-nucleotide ribosomal RNA is filed under the name uncultured bacterium. Its description in RNAcentral is "partial 16S ribosomal RNA". It matches the Rfam family "Bacterial small subunit ribosomal RNA", at positions 524 to 776 of the family's 1533-position model. The record is from RNAcentral.